This 253-nucleotide ribosomal RNA is filed under the name uncultured bacterium. RNAcentral's name for it is "partial 16S ribosomal RNA". It matches the Rfam family "Bacterial small subunit ribosomal RNA", at positions 524 to 776 of the family's 1533-position model. The record is from RNAcentral.
UACGUAGGCAGCAAGCGUUGUUCGGAAUUACUGGGCGUAAAGAGUGUGUAGGCGGUGCUCUAAGUUCGGUGUGAAAUCUCCCGGCUCAACUGGGAGGGUGCGCCGAAAACUGGAGUGCUGGAGCGCGGGAGAGGAAAGCGGAAUUCCUGGUGUAGCGGUGGAAUGCGCAGAUAUCAGGAGGAACACCGAUGGCGAAGGCAGAUCUCUGGGCCGUAACUGACGCUGAGGAGCGAAAGCGUGGGGAGCGAACAGG